Long non-coding RNA from Uranotaenia lowii, 747 nucleotides. RefSeq lists it as uncharacterized. The record is from RefSeq and is a predicted model, not a curated record. The transcript has 3 exons. Lineage: Eukaryota; Metazoa; Arthropoda; Insecta; Diptera; Culicidae.
GGUUAUUUUUUAACAAUUUUUUCAAGUGAAAUUUUAACCAUAUUUCUAGUUCCCCUGCAAUAACCAAGAAAUGGUUAGAAUUUUGACCAAUAAACGAAAGAAAAUAUUCAUGUCCGCCAUUUUAGAAACAUUCUUCGACAAAGCCACAUUGGUACUAUAGUUUAUUUUCAAUUUCUCAGUAGUUUUAUCAAAAUUUAAACAUACAACCUAAAUGAAUUUAAUUCCUAGUGCCCACUCAGUACAGAACAGAAUCAAUCCGAUUCCACCAAAAAGCCCCUGAUGCCUGCAGGUAAUCGUUGCCGGAGUUGCUUAGUCGCAAUACCCUUAAUCCGGCUUCUUAUUGCAUGGAUCGGUUCCAAAUCAGGCCGCUGGACACGACGAAUUGCAGACAGCACUUAACGAGGCCUUCCAGAAAAAAUACCGGGUUGGGGUUGAACACUCCAAAUGGGCGCACUGGAUGGCGGAUAUUCCCAUUUAUUAAAAACCAACACAAGUUUUCUGAUCCGGACGAUGACGAUGGAUCGCCAGGCGAUCCGGAAUUUCCUCUUCACCUGUGUUGUCCGAACGGGACUGUUUGAACUGAUCAUCUUGAGGAGGCUUUAACUAUCAUUUUACCUUCCGGGACGGGAUGCAUGUAGCCAGAUUCAGAUCGGGCGGAAAAAAAUUGUUGAACAGCGGAUCGGAGCCGAAUCGGAGCACAGCAGUUUUACGAGAAGCCUGAGGUUGAAGCGAACGAGGAGUCGAAAA